CCCCAGACUCCUACGGGAGGCAGCAGUGGGGGAUAUUGCACAAUGGGGGAAACCCUGAUGCAGCGACGCCGCGUGGGUGAAGAAGCGCCUCGGCGCGUAAAGCCCUGUCAGCAGGGAAGAAAAUGACGGUACCUGAAGAAGAAGCCCCGGCUAACUACGUGCCAGCAGCCGCGGUAAUACGUAGGGGGCAAGCGUUAUCCGGAUUUACUGGGUGUAAAGGGGGCGCAGACGGCGAUGCAAGCCAGGAGUGAAAGCCCGGGGCCCAACCCCGGGACUGCUCUUGGAACUGCGUGGCUGGAGUGCAGGAGGGGCAGGCGGAAUUCCUGGUGUAGCGGUGGAAUGCGUAGAUAUUAGGAGGAACACCAGUGGCGAAGGCGGAUUGCUAGACUGUAACUGACACUGAGGCACGAAAGCGUGGGGAGCAAACAGGAUUAGAUACCCCAGUA
This 446-nucleotide ribosomal RNA is filed under the name uncultured bacterium. RNAcentral describes it as "bacterial SSU rRNA". It matches the Rfam family "Bacterial small subunit ribosomal RNA", at positions 329 to 792 of the family's 1533-position model. The record is from RNAcentral.